This 287-nucleotide long non-coding RNA is filed under the name Olea europaea (common olive). Its description in RNAcentral is "long non-coding RNA (OEUR_LNC000612)". Lineage: Eukaryota; Viridiplantae; Streptophyta; Magnoliopsida; Lamiales; Oleaceae. The record is from RNAcentral.
GCAGCUCAAGAACAAGAUGAUGAUGAUGUACCAGACCUUGUGGCUGGCGAGACCUUUGAGGCUGCCGCAGAGGAGGGCCAUGAUCAUGAUCAUGACCAUGACCAUGACCAUGACCAUGACCAUGAUCAUGGUCAUGGUCAUGAUGAUCAUGGUCAUGCUUAAGAGCUCGAUAUUGAUUUUGUGUGCAAUUCCUUGUAUUUUUAUUUUUUUAAUGCUUUUGAGAUGUUUAUUAUGAAAAUACUAGACAGUUUGUUACAUUAACAUAGCCCUUCAGAUCAUUAUCUGCC